AGUGAGAGUACAGAUUCGGAGUCUGAGGUGGGAGGUUUUACAUGAGAGACUCGAGGAGAUGGGUACACUGCAUUGAUAUCUUCCACGUUGUGCGCGAAAACCACACGAUCCCUCCCCGAUAUUACGCAGUCUAUUUAAACGCAACAUCCACACACCCAUUCCAUUUCUCACCACUUUGGUCGUCUCACCUGCACUCGCGGUGUUCAGGAGAGGAAUCCAGUGAUGGAUCAGGACAAGUACCUGCCAGAGCUCAUUGCCGAGAAGGAGAGCUUGGACCCGUCGUUCGUGCACGCGAUGCGCCUUCUCGCUGAAGAGAUUGAAAAGUUCGAAGGAGACGAGUUGAGAAAAGAUGGCGAGGUGAAGAAAUACUUGGAUAUCAUCAGCAACAAAAACAUCAAACUGUCAGAGCGCGUGCUGAUCCCGGUGCAGCAGUAUCCUAAGUUUAAUUUUGUUGGGAAACUGCUGGGGCCCAGGGGCAAUUCCAUGAAAAGAUUACAAGAGGAAACGGGAGCAAAGAUGUCCAUCCUCGGCAAGGGUUCAAUGAGGGAUAAAGGGAAGGAGGAAGAGCUGAGGAAAAGUGGAGAGGCGAAAUACGCCCAUUUGAGCAACGAUCUUCAUGUUUUAAUUGAAGUUUUCGCACCACCUGGAGAAGCCUAUUCCCGCAUGAGCCAUGCCCUGGAGGAGAUUAAGAAAUUCCUUGUUCCAGAUUACAAUGAUGAGAUCAGGCAGGAGCAACUUCGUGAGCUCUCCUACUUAAAUGGCUCAGAUGAGACCAGCCGAGGAAGAACCGCACGAGGACGAGGCUUACGUCUGACCUCCACAGCAUCCACCCGAGGUCGAGGGGGGGCAGCUCCACCCCCUCCACCUGGACGAGGAGCAGCAGCAGCACCCAGAGGAACUGUGGGUACACGCACCUCCAUCCCCACACCCACACUAGCCAGGGGAGUGUCUGCACCCAGGGCCAGAGGAACUACAGGGACCUCUGGAUACAGAGCCCCAAUACUGCAGGCCACGCACAAAUCAUAUGAUGACUAUGGAUAUGAUGAUGGUUAUGAUGGGGAAUAUGAUGACCAGAGUUAUGAGGGCUAUGAUGACAACUACAGCAACAAGUCGAAAAGUGGCUCAGAAUAUUAUGAAUAUGGACACGGUAAUAAUGAUGAAGCCUACAACAAUUAUGCAGAAGAAGACUGGAUAUCAUCGCGGCCCAACCUCAAAGCUCCAGCAUCAAGACUUACUCGAGGGGGCUACAGAGAUCACCCCUAUGGUGCCAGUCUCUCUGUGAGCUGAGAUGCAGUGGAUUGAAUCAGACUGGGCGCUUUGCAGUCGAUAUGUGGAGCAUACUGAUAAAACCAAUCAGUGAGAAGUGAGAAGUGAGGGGGAAAUGCUUAUAAACAGUGUGUGCAGAUGCUGUAUGCCAGUGUUGAGAACCCAUUUCCAUGGAUCUGAACAGAGCUGAUCUUGACAGAACAUCACUGCAGGGCACAGAUGACCACUGCGUAUCCAUCUUGUCUAAAUGAAAUCUGAACAGUGUCAUAUGAGAUGGACCUCACCCUGGAUUGGCUUAUUCAGAUCACAUAGAAGGUCCAAGCAGAUACAUUUCUUAAGCUGUAUCACAUCCCGUUUGAAUUCUUCAGAGACCCAUAAAUUCAAUAUUGCAUUAUGGUGGUCAGAAGGCAUGCCACAUAUUGUGGUAUA
Molecule: RNA transcript, 1695 nt
Organism: Sinocyclocheilus anshuiensis
Lineage: Eukaryota; Metazoa; Chordata; Actinopteri; Cypriniformes; Cyprinidae
Gene name: KH domain-containing, RNA-binding, signal transduction-associated protein 2-like
Exons: 13
Source: RefSeq, a predicted model, not a curated record